GGGACCCAAAAGGGACCCGGUGACCCAAAACGGACCUCGGGGCACCCAAAAGGGGACCCAAAAGGGGACACAAAAGGGACCCGGUGACCACCCAGGGGACCCAAAAUGGACCUGAGGGACUCAAAAAGGACCCAAAAGGGACCCAGAGACCACCCAGAGGACCCAAAAUGGACCUGAGGGACCCAAAAGGGGACCCAAAAGGGACCCGGUGACCACUGGGGGCCCCAAAAGGGACCUGAGUGACCCAAAAUGGACCUGGGGGCACCCAAAAGAGACCCAAAAGGGACCCGGAGACCACCCAGAGCACCCAAAAUGGACCUGAGGGACCCAAAAGGGACCCGGUGACCACCGGGGCCACCCAGGGGUCCCCGUCCUGCCCCCCCCCGCCCUCACCCUGUGCACCCAGGGGGGCAUGGCGUGGGUGGCGGGCGAGCGGUGGUGCAGGUUGAGGACGCCGACGCUGAGGAUGACGCAGAGCGUGAGCAGCACCAGGGUGCCCGUCAGGUAGCGCCCGAUGAGCGGCACGGCCAGCGAGGUGGCCGGCACUUUGUCGGCCAGCAGCAGCAGGAACACCGUCAGCGUCAGCAGCGCGAACAGCGACAGCGUCAUCUUCUCCCCUGCGGCGCGCGUGCGCGACUGUGUGAUGCACCGCAGCGUGCGGCGCUCCCGUGCAAUGCUCCCGUGCAAUGCUCCCGUGCAAUGCUCUCGUGCACUGUAUCGUGUGGUGCUCCUGUGCAAUGCUCCCAUGCAAUGUUCCCAUAAGGUGCUCCCGUGCAAUGCAGCGUGCAAUGCAGCGUGUGGUGCUCCUGUGCAAUGCUCCCAUGCAGUGCUCCCAUGCGGUGCUCCCGUGCAAUGCUCCCAUGCAAUGCUCUCAUGCACUGCAUCAUGUGGUGCAGUGUGCAGUGCUCCCGUGCAGUGCUCCCGUGCAGUGCUCCCGUGCAAUGCUCCUGUGCACCGCAUCGCAUGGUGCGGCGUGCGGUGCUCCCGUGCAAUGCAUCGUGCGGUGCUCCCAUGCAAUGCUCCUGUGCAAUGCAACGUGUGGUGCUCCCAUGCAAUGCUCUUAUGCACUGCAUCGUGUGGUGCGGCGUGCAGUGCUCCCGUGCAAUGCUCCCAUGCAAUGCUCCCGUGCAAUGAUCCCGUGCAAUGCUCCCGUGCAAUGCUCCCGUGCACUGUAUCGUGUGGUGCUCCUGUGCAAUGCAUCGUGUGGUGCUCCUGUGCAGUGCUCCCGUGCAAUGCUCUCGUGCACUGCAUUGAGUGGUGCGGCGUGCGGUGCUCCCGUGCAAUGCAGCGUGCAACACGGCACGCAACGCACUGUGCAUUGUGCAAAGCAUCGUGUAAUGCAUCCUGCAAUGCCCCCGUGCAACACAUCUUGCGACGCCCGUGUGCAACGCACAGUGCAAUGCCCUUGUGCAAGGUGCUGUGCAACACCCCCACGUGCCCCCCGUGCAAGCUCUGACACAAACCACGCAAAGUCCACGUGCAAAUGCUUCGGCUGUGCAACACCCCCCCACCCCCAAACCCUGCUGUGAAUCUGCAACGCCCUGGUGCAAACCCCUCGUGCGACCACACACACACACACACCCCCGGCCCUUGCACGAGCCCCCCCCCCCCUCGUGCAACGCACCGGCGUCGGGGGGCAGGUAGAAGGCGCCGACGGCGAGCAGCGUGAUGAGCACGCAGGGCACGAGGACGUUGACGAUGUAGAAGAGCGGCUUGCGGCGGAUCACCAGGUAGAAGGUGACGUCCUCGUGCGAGCCGGCGGCGUGGUGGCGGCCGUGCCGGUGGCACAGCUCCCACUGCCCGUUCUCUGCACGGCGCCGCCAAGCGUGAGGCCCCGUGCAAAGCCCCCCG
Anser cygnoides (Swan goose) is the source of this 1851-nucleotide long non-coding RNA. The record is from Ensembl. NCBI's taxonomy places the organism in Eukaryota, Metazoa, Chordata, Aves, Anseriformes, Anatidae.